This 255-nucleotide ribosomal RNA is filed under the name uncultured bacterium. Its description in RNAcentral is "partial 16S ribosomal RNA". It matches the Rfam family "Bacterial small subunit ribosomal RNA", at positions 523 to 776 of the family's 1533-position model. The record is from RNAcentral.
AUACAGAGGGUGCGAGCGUUGUUCGGAAUCACUGGGCGUAAAGCGCGCGCAGGCGGGACUUGCAAGUCGGGAGUGAAAGGCCGGGGCUCAACCCCGGGUCUGCCGUGCGAACUGCCGGACUUGAGCACUGUAGAGGCAGGUGGAAUUCCGAGUGUAGCGGUGGAAUGCGUAGAGAUUCGGAGGAACACCGGUGGCGAAGGCGGCCUGCUGGGCAGUGUCUGACGCUGAGGCGCGACAGCGUGGGGAGCAAACAGG